GAUGAAGAACGUAGCGAAAUGCGAUAAGUAAUGUGAAUUGCAGAAUUCAGUGAAUCAUCGAAUCUUUGAACGCACAUUGCGCCCCCUGGUAUUCCGGGGGGCAUGCCUGUCCGAGCGUCAUUACAACCCUCAAGCUCAGCUUGGUGUUGGGCCCCGCCGCCCCGGCGGGCCCUAAAGUCAGUGGCGGUGCCGUCCGGCUCCGAGCGUAGUAAUUCUUCUCGCUCUGGAGGUCCGGUCGUGUGCUCGCCAGCAACCCCCAAUUUUUUUCAGGUUGACCUCGGAUCAGGUAGGGAUACCCGCUGAACUUAAGCAUAUCAAUAAGCGGGGA
RNAcentral lists this unclassified non-coding RNA (328 nucleotides) under soil metagenome. Its description in RNAcentral is "partial contains 5.8S ribosomal RNA, internal transcribed spacer 2, and large subunit ribosomal RNA". The stretch from base 1 to 120 matches the Rfam family "5.8S ribosomal RNA", at positions 35 to 154 of the family's 154-position model. The record is from RNAcentral.